GACGAACGCUGGCGGCGUGCCUAAUACAUGCGAGUAGAACGCUGAAGCGAGGAGCUUGCUCUUCUUGGAUGAGUUGCGAACGGGUGAGUAACGCGUAGUUAACCUGCCUUGUAGCGGGGGAUAACUAUUGGAAAAGAUAGCUAAUACCGCAUAACAAUGGAUGACACAUGUCAUUUAUUUGAAAGGGGCAAUUGCUCCACUACAAGAUGGACCUGCGUUGUAUUAGCUAGUAGGUGAGGUAAUGGCUCACCUAGGCGACGAUACAUAGCCGACCUGAGAGGGUGAUCGGCCACACAGAGACGGAGACACGGCCCGGACUCAUGCGGGGGGGAGCAAUAAGGAAUCGUCGGCGAAGGGGGCAAGCCUGACCGAGCAACGCCGGGUGAGUGAAGAAGGUUGUCGGAUGGUAAAGCUCUGUUGUAAGUCAAGAAAGGGUGUGAGAGUGGAAAGUGCACACUGUGACGGUAGCUUACCAGAAAGGGACGGCUAACUACGUG
Molecule: ribosomal RNA, 497 nt
Filed under: uncultured bacterium
Lineage: Bacteria
Description: partial 16S ribosomal RNA
Rfam family: Bacterial small subunit ribosomal RNA
Source: RNAcentral